RNAcentral lists this long non-coding RNA (465 nucleotides) under Linum usitatissimum (flax). RNAcentral's name for it is "long non-coding RNA (LUSI_LNC001844)". The record is from RNAcentral. Lineage: Eukaryota; Viridiplantae; Streptophyta; Magnoliopsida; Malpighiales; Linaceae.
UGACAACACCAAUUCAAAAAAUAAAAAUGUAAACAAAUUAAUAAAAUAUAAAGCGGCCAACUGACCGGUGAUCAGUCUAGUAAGGUAACAUAACAAUCUAAUUCUAAGGCAAAGAUUUUGCCGAGGCAUUACGAGCAACCCAAUAUACUUUGAAGUUCUCUUUACGAAGGAGGAACCUAACUGAGAUAUAAGGAGAAGCACGUAAAAUCCGCGAGAUAGUCGCAGUUAAAACCUUACGAAGGGGGAAGUCCAACUAUCGACACGAAGCCUUAUAGUUUCGAGGGGAAAGGAAAAAGUAUUGUUCCAAAUUUCCCAACCACCAUAUGGGGGGGGACUGAAUGAUAUUUCUUUUAUAUAUAGAGAGACAGCCACUUAACACAGACAAACGUUCACUUCACAGAUGAAUUUAUUUACACAUGCAGAUGAUAUGCACACUACAUUAGCCUUUCCUUUCCUUGGGACACU